This is a non-coding RNA of Camelina sativa (false flax), 127 nucleotides long. NCBI's taxonomy places the organism in Eukaryota, Viridiplantae, Streptophyta, Magnoliopsida, Brassicales, Brassicaceae. The record is from RefSeq and is a predicted model, not a curated record.
CCAUGGCUUUAGUGGGUUCAAAGAAUGUCAAAUCAGCAAAGAUGAAGAGCAACAUGGAAACCAGCAAAGAUGAAAUGAUGAAGUGUCUCAAACAAAUACAAGAUAUCAACAGUAAAAUAGUGAGUGG